This 435-nucleotide ribosomal RNA is filed under the name uncultured bacterium. RNAcentral's name for it is "partial 16S ribosomal RNA". It matches the Rfam family "Bacterial small subunit ribosomal RNA", at positions 28 to 507 of the family's 1533-position model. The record is from RNAcentral.
GAUGAACGCUGGCGGUAUGCUUAACACAUGCAAGUCGAACGGACUCUUCGGAGUUAGUGGCGGACGGGUGAGUAACGCGUGAGAAUCUGGCUUUGGGUUCGGGACAACCACUGGAAACGGUGGCUAAUACCGGAUGUGCCGAGAGGUAAAAGAGAAAUUGCCUGAAGAUGAGCUCGCGUCUGAUUAGCUAGUUGGUGAGGUAAAGGCUCACCAAGGCAGCGAUCAGUAGCUGGUCUGAGAGGAUGGCCAGCCACACUGGGACUGAGACACGGCCCAGACUCCUACGGGAGGCAGCAGUGGGGAAUUUUCCGCAAUGGGCGAAAGCCUGACGGAGCAAUACCGCGUGAGGGAAGAAGGCUCUUGGGUUGUAAACCUCUUUUCUUAGGGAAGAACAAAAUGACGGUACCUAAGGAAUCAGCAUCGGCUAACUCCGUG